ACUAAAAGAAGGGAUUUUUUUUUUUAAUCCUCUUCCUGGUCCAAAUCAGAUUUCUGUUUAUAGGGUUUGGUUCUUUUUUAUUAUAUGACCAACUCAAUUGGAUGGUCCUUUGGAUAUUCAAUGCUAUUGUACUGGUUUGUUUCUUCUUGGGCUAUAAAUUCAUAAGUAGAUUCUGAUUUUGAGCAGGGAAGGGGUGCGCCACGCCACACAAGCAACCACUCAAACAUAGACUUUGAAUGGUUGAGAAGCAAUGCCUAUUUGCUUUAUUUUUGUUGGCCCAGUGGGUAGUUUGGAAUAGA
This 299-nucleotide unclassified non-coding RNA is filed under the name Hevea brasiliensis (rubber tree). Lineage: Eukaryota; Viridiplantae; Streptophyta; Magnoliopsida; Malpighiales; Euphorbiaceae. The record is from RNAcentral.